RNAcentral lists this ribosomal RNA (768 nucleotides) under uncultured low G+C Gram-positive bacterium. RNAcentral describes it as "bacterial SSU rRNA". It matches the Rfam family "Bacterial small subunit ribosomal RNA", at positions 62 to 799 of the family's 1533-position model. Lineage: Bacteria; Bacillati; Bacillota. The record is from RNAcentral.
UCUUUCCUCCCGAGUGCUUGCACUCAAUUGGAAAGAGGAGUGGCGGACGGGUGAGUAACACGUGGGUAACCUACCCAUCAGAGGGGGAUAACACUUGGAAACAGGUGCUAAUACCGCAUAACAGUUUAUGCCGCAUGGCAUAAGAGUGAAAGGCGCUUUCGGGUGUCGCUGAUGGAUGGACCCGCGGUGCAUUAGCUAGUUGGUGAGGUAACGGCUCACCAAGGCCACGAUGCAUAGCCGACCUGAGAGGGUGAUCGGCCGCACUGGGACUGAGACACGGCCCAGACUCCUACGGGAGGCAGCAGUAGGGAAUCUUCGGCAAUGGACGAAAGUCUGACCGAGCAACGCCGCGUGAGUGAAGCAAGGUUUUCGGAUCGUACAACUCUGUUGUUAGAGAAGAACAAGGACGUUAGUAACUGAACGUCCCCUGACGGUACUCUAACCAGAAAGCCACGGCUAACUACGUGCCAGCAGCCGCGGUACUACGUAGGUGGCAAGCGUCGUCCGGAUUCAUCGGGCGUAAAGCGAGCGCAGGCGGUUUCUUAAGUCUGAUGUGAAAGCCCCCGGCUCAACCGGUGGAGGGUCAUUGGAAACUGGGAGACUUGAGUGCAGAAGACCAGAGUGGGAAUUGCCAUGUGUGAGCGGUGAAAUGCGUAGAUAUAUGGAGGAACACCAGUGGUCGAAGUCAGGCUCUCUGGUCUGUAACUGACGCUGAGGCUCAGAAAGCGUGGGGAGCAAACAGGAUUUAGGAUACCCUGGUAGUCCACA